AUUGAACGCUGGCGGCAGGCCUAACACAUGCAAGUCGAGCGGGAUUUACCUUCGGGUAAUGAGAGCGGCGGACGGGUGAGUAAUGCUUGGGAAUCUACCUAGUAGUGGGGGACAACAGUUGGAAACGACUGCUAAUCCUGCAUACGCCCUACGGGGGAUAGGGGGGGCACUUCGGACCUCUUGCCUGUAGAUGAGCCUAAGCUGGAUUAGAUAGCUGGUGGGGUAAAGGCCUACCAAGGCGACGAUCCGUAGCUGGUUUGAGAGGAUGAUCAGCCACACUGGGACUGAGACACGGCCCAGACUCCUACGGGAGGCAGCAGUGGGGAAUAUUGGACAAUGGGCGCAAGCCUGAUCCAGCCAUGCCGCGUGUGUGAAGAAGGCCCUAGGGUUGUAAAGCACUUUAAGUAGGGAGGAAGGUCUGGUAAUUAAUACUUAUCAGGAUUGACGUUACCUACAGAAUAAGCACCGGCUAACUCCGUGCCAGCAGCCGCAGUAA
This 496-nucleotide ribosomal RNA is filed under the name uncultured bacterium. Its description in RNAcentral is "partial 16S ribosomal RNA". It matches the Rfam family "Bacterial small subunit ribosomal RNA", at positions 30 to 523 of the family's 1533-position model. The record is from RNAcentral.